GUUCAUCCUUGAAUUAUUCACUUAGCAUAAUGUCUUCAUGUUUCAUCCACAUUGUAGUUCAUGUGCCAAGAUGGAAAUCAUAGGACAAAAUACCUAUGUGAGAAGAAAUCAUCUGAGAUGCACUUAAUCUUCAAGCAUCCUUGAUGCUGUUUUGAGUGGGCCCCAUCCAGUCAGUUGAAGUCCUUAAGAGAAAAGACUGAAGUCUUCUGAAGAUGAUAGGAUAAAGCUUUCAGAUACAAGGGUGAAAAAUUAAGCCAUGAGUUUCUAUUAGCUGAAGAGCACAAUUGGUUUGCAUGACUAGAUGGCCAAUACCAGGUCAGAUGAGGGCACUGAUGAAAAAGAACACAGAGCAGACUGGCUGGAACACUUCCUGGUAUCAGUGCGCUCAUACUUACCUCGUUAUGAAGAUCCCAGCAGCCAACAAG
Symphalangus syndactylus (siamang) is the source of this 425-nucleotide long non-coding RNA. RefSeq lists it as uncharacterized. Lineage: Eukaryota; Metazoa; Chordata; Mammalia; Primates; Hylobatidae. The record is from RefSeq and is a predicted model, not a curated record.